This 490-nucleotide ribosomal RNA is filed under the name uncultured bacterium. RNAcentral describes it as "partial 16S ribosomal RNA". It matches the Rfam family "Bacterial small subunit ribosomal RNA", at positions 29 to 507 of the family's 1533-position model. The record is from RNAcentral.
AGUGAACGCUGGCGGUAGGCCUAACACAUGCAAGUCGAACGGCAGCACAGGAGAGCUUGCUCUCUGGGUGGCGAGUGGCGGACGGGUGAGGAAUACAUCGGAAUCUGCCCAGUCGUGGGGGAUAACGUAGGGAAACUUACGCUAAUACCGCAUACGACCUUCGGGUGAAAGAGGGGGAUCGCAAGACCUCUCGCGAUUGGAUGAGCCGAUGUCGGAUUAGCUAGUUGGCGGGGUAAUGGCCCACCAAGGCGACGAUCCGUAGCUGGUCUGAGAGGAUGAUCAGCCACACUGGAACUGAGACACGGUCCAGACUCCUACGGGAGGCACCAGUGGGGAAUAUUGGACAAUGGGCGCAAGCCUGAUCCAGCCAUACCGCGUGGGUGAAGAAGGCCUUCGGGUUGUAAAGCCCUUUUGUUGGGAAAGAAAUCUUUCAGGCUAAUACCCUGAGAGGAUGACGGUACCCAAAGAAUAAGCACCGGCUAACUUCGUG